RNAcentral lists this ribosomal RNA (403 nucleotides) under Verrucomicrobiota bacterium. RNAcentral's name for it is "Verrucomicrobia bacterium partial 16S ribosomal RNA". It matches the Rfam family "Bacterial small subunit ribosomal RNA", at positions 355 to 776 of the family's 1533-position model. The record is from RNAcentral. Lineage: Bacteria; Pseudomonadati; Verrucomicrobiota.
UGGGGAAUAUUGCACAAUGGGCGCAAGCCUGAUGCAGCAACGCCGCGUGAACGAUGAAGGUCUUCGGAUCGUAAAGUUCUGUUGCAGGGGAAGAUAAUGACGGUACCCUGUGAGGAAGCCCCGGCUAACUACGUGCCAGCAGCCGCGGUAAUACGUAGGGGGCUAGCGUUAUCCGGAUUUACUGGGCGUAAAGGGUGCGUAGGUGGUCUUUCAAGUCGGUGGUUAAAGGCUACGGCUCAACCGUAGUUAGCCUCCGAAACUGGAAGACUUGAGUGCAGGAGAGGAAAGUGGAAUUCCCAGUGUAGCGGUGGAAUGCGUAGAUAUUGGGAGGAACACCAGUAGCGAAGGCGGCUUUCUGGACUGCAACUGACACUGAGGCACGAAAGCGUGGGUAGCAAACAGG